CCUACGGGAGGCAGCAGUGAGGAAUAUUGGUCAAUGGGCGGGAGCCUGAACCAGCCAAGUCGCGUGAGGGAAGACGGUCCUAUGGAUUGUAAACCUCUUUAGGCGGGGAGCAAUGCCGGGCACGCGUGCCCGGAGGGAGAGUACCCGCAGAUUAAGCAUCGGCUAACUCCGUGCCAGCAGCCGCGGUAAUACGGAGGAUGCGAGCGUUAUCCGGAAUCAUUGGGCGUAAAGAGUUCGUAGGCGGCACGUAAAGUGUGGUGUUAAAGGCCGAGGCUCAACUUCUGUACGGCACUGGAUACUGGCGAGCUAGAAUGCGGUAGAGGUAGGGGGAAUGCGUGGUGUAGCGGUGAAAUGCUUAGAUAUCAGGAGGAACAGCGGUGGCGAAAGCGCUUUACUGGGCCGGAAUUGACGCUGAGGAACGAAAGCGAGGGUAGCAAAUGGGAUUAGAUACCCGGGUAGUC
RNAcentral lists this ribosomal RNA (461 nucleotides) under uncultured bacterium. RNAcentral's name for it is "partial 16S ribosomal RNA". It matches the Rfam family "Bacterial small subunit ribosomal RNA", at positions 338 to 795 of the family's 1533-position model. The record is from RNAcentral.